Molecule: unclassified non-coding RNA, 318 nt
Filed under: uncultured Eurotiomycetes
Lineage: Eukaryota; Fungi; Ascomycota; Eurotiomycetes
Description: sequence contains ITS1
Rfam family: 5.8S ribosomal RNA (bases 1-106)
Source: RNAcentral
GAAAUGCGAUAAGUAAUGCGAAUUGCAGAAUUUCCGUGAGUCAUCGAAUCUUUGAACGCACAUUGCGCCCAUUGGUAUUCCGAUGGGCAUGCCUGUUCGAGCGUCAUUAUCCUCCCUCAAACCUCGGGUUUGGUGUUGGGCCGCGCUGGUGCUUCGUAACCAGCUGGCCUCAAAGACAGUGACGGCGUCCGUGGGACCCUCGGUGCAACGAGCUUUUCAGGAGCACGCGUCGAGUUUCAAGGACCUUUCGGGCCCGGUCUCCCUCCUCACUUCCACAAGGUUGACCUCGGAUCAGGUAGGAAUACCCGCUGAACUUAA